This 188-nucleotide ribosomal RNA is filed under the name uncultured bacterium. RNAcentral describes it as "partial 16S ribosomal RNA". It matches the Rfam family "Bacterial small subunit ribosomal RNA", at positions 338 to 523 of the family's 1533-position model. The record is from RNAcentral.
CCUACGGGAGGCAGCAGUGAGGAAUAUUGGUCAAUGGCCGCAAGGCUGAACCAGCCAAGUAGCGUGCAGGAUGACGGCCCUAUGGGUUGUAAACUGCUUUUGCGGGGGAAUAAAGUGAGGGACGCGUCCCUUUUUGUAUGUACCCUGAGAAUAAGGACCGGCUAAUUCCGUGCCAGCAGCCGCGGUAU